UUUUGAUCCUGGCUCAGGAUGAACGCUAGCGGCAGGCCUAAUACAUGCAAGUCGAACGAUAUUAUCCAGCUUGCUGGAUAUGAAAGUGGCGCACGGGUGCGUAACGCGUAUGCAACCUACCUUAUUCAGGGGGAUAGCCCGAAGAAAUUCGGAUUAAGACCGCAUAAAAUCACAGUUCAGCAUUGGACAAUGAUCAAAUAUUUAUAGGAAUAAGAUGGGCAUGCGUGUCAUUAGCUAGUUGGCGGGGUAACGGCCCACCAAGGCGACGAUGACUAGGGGAUCUGAGAGGAUGGCCCCCCACACUGGUACUGAGACACGGACCAGACUCCUACGGGAGGCAGCAGUAAGGAAUAUUGGUCAAUGGAGGGAACUCUGAACCAGCCAUGCCGCGUGCAGGAAGACGGCCCUCUGGGUUGUAAACUGCUUUUAUUCGGGAAUAAACCUAUUUACGUGUAAAUAGCUGAAUGUACCGAAGGAAUAAGGAUCGGCUAACUCCGUG
RNAcentral lists this ribosomal RNA (499 nucleotides) under uncultured Pedobacter sp. RNAcentral's name for it is "bacterial SSU rRNA". It matches the Rfam family "Bacterial small subunit ribosomal RNA", at positions 11 to 507 of the family's 1533-position model. The record is from RNAcentral. Lineage: Bacteria; Pseudomonadati; Bacteroidota; Sphingobacteriia; Sphingobacteriales; Sphingobacteriaceae.